This 228-nucleotide ribosomal RNA is filed under the name Drancourtella massiliensis. Its description in RNAcentral is "partial 23S ribosomal RNA". It matches the Rfam family "Bacterial large subunit ribosomal RNA", at positions 147 to 379 of the family's 2925-position model. The record is from RNAcentral. Lineage: Bacteria; Bacillati; Bacillota; Clostridia; Eubacteriales; Oscillospiraceae.
GUCAUCCAUACGCCAAUCCAUAACGUAUGGAAGGGAACCCGGUGAACUGAAACAUCUAAGUAGCCGGAGGAAGAGAAAGAAACAUCGAUUCCGGGAGUAGCGGCGAGCGAAACUGGAAGAGCCCAAACCAGUGUGCGUGCAUGCUGGGGUUCGGACUGCACAAGUGACUUCCAAGAGUAAUAGAAUGGUUUUGGGAAAGCCAGCCAGAGAGGGUGAAAGCCCCGUACA